RNAcentral lists this non-coding RNA (95 nucleotides) under Cellulomonas sp. Its description in RNAcentral is "TPP sequence". It matches the Rfam family "TPP riboswitch aptamer (THI element)". From Rfam's summary of the family: Vitamin B(1) in its active form thiamin pyrophosphate (TPP) is an essential coenzyme that is synthesised by coupling of pyrimidine and thiazole moieties in bacteria. The previously detected thiamin-regulatory element, thi box was extended, resulting in a new, highly conserved RNA secondary structure, the THI element, which is widely distributed in eubacteria and also occurs in some archaea. Analysis of operon structures identified a large number of new candidate thiamin-regulated genes, mostly transporters, in various prokaryotic organisms. The record is from RNAcentral. Lineage: Bacteria; Bacillati; Actinomycetota; Actinomycetes; Micrococcales; Cellulomonadaceae.
UUCCGUGACACGGGGUGCCGCACAGCGCGGCUGAGAUCACACCCGUCGAACCUGAUCUAGGUAGCACUAGCGAAGGGAUGUCGCGCAUGACCCGC